GACGAACGCUGGCGGCGUGCUUAACACAUGCAAGUCGAACGGAAAGGCCCUGCUUUUGUGGGGUGCUCGAGUGGCGAACGGGUGAGUAACACGUGAGUAACCUGCCCUUGACUUUGGGAUAACUUCAGGAAACUGGGGCUAAUACCGGAUAGGAGCUCCUGCUGCAUGGUGGGGGUUGGAAAGUUUCGGCGGUUGGGGAUGGACUCGCGGCUUAUCAGCUUGUUGGUGGGGUAGUGGCUUACCAAGGCUUUGACGGGUAGCCGGCCUGAGAGGGUGACCGGCCACAUUGGGACUGAGAUACGGCCCAGACUCCUACGGGAGGCAGCAGUGGGGCAUAUUGCACGAUGGGCGGAAGCCUGAUGCAGCAACGCCGCGUGCGGGAUGACGGCCUUCGGGUUGUAAACCGCUUUCGCCUGUGACGAAGCGUGAGUGACGGUAAUGGGUAAAGAAGCACCGGCUAACUACGUG
RNAcentral lists this ribosomal RNA (468 nucleotides) under uncultured bacterium. Its description in RNAcentral is "partial 16S ribosomal RNA". It matches the Rfam family "Bacterial small subunit ribosomal RNA", at positions 28 to 507 of the family's 1533-position model. The record is from RNAcentral.